This 425-nucleotide ribosomal RNA is filed under the name uncultured bacterium. RNAcentral describes it as "partial 16S ribosomal RNA". It matches the Rfam family "Bacterial small subunit ribosomal RNA", at positions 354 to 796 of the family's 1533-position model. The record is from RNAcentral.
GUGGGGAAUAUUGGGCAAUGGGCGAAAGCCUGACCCAGCAACGCCGCGUGAAGGAAGAAGGUCUUCGGAUCGUAAACUUCUAUCCUUGGUGAAGAUAAUGACGGUAGCCGAGAAGGAAGCCCCGGCUAACUACGUGCCAGCAGCCGCGGUAAUACGUAGGGGGCAAGCGUUGUCCGGAAUGAUUGGGCGUAAAGGGCGCGUAGGCGGCCUGGUAAGUCUGGAGUGAAAGUCCUGCUUUUAAGGUGGGAAUUGCUUUGGAUACUGUCGGGCUUGAGUGCGGGGGAGGUAAGUGGAAUUCCCGGUGCAGCGUUGAAAUGCGUAGAGAUCGGGAGGAACACCAGUGGCGAAGGCGACUUACUGGACUGUAACUGACGCUGAGGCGCGAAAGUGUGGGGAGCAAACAGGAUUAGAUACCCCGGUAGUCC